UUUGAAACACCGGUUCUUGUACGAUCACCGAAUUCAUUUAAGCAACGUCGAGCCUGGUCAGUACCUAGAUGGGUGACCGCUUGGGAAUAUACAGGUGCUGU
Non-coding RNA from Acanthosepion pharaonis, 101 nucleotides. The record is from the annotation of a GenBank genome assembly. Lineage: Eukaryota; Metazoa; Mollusca; Cephalopoda; Sepiida; Sepiidae.